GGCGGCAGGCUUAACACAUGCAAGUCGAACGCAUCCUUCGGGGUGAGUGGCAGACGGGUGAGUAACACGUGGGAACGUACCCCUUUGUUCGGAAUAACCCUGGGAAACUAGGGCUAAUACCGGAUACGGCCGAGAGGCGAAAGGUUUACCGCAGAGGGAUCGGCCCGCGUCCGAUUAGCUUGUUGGUGAGGUAAUGGCUCACCAAGGCUUCGAUCGGUAGCUGGUCUGAGAGGAUGGCCAGCCACAUUGGGACUGAGACACGGCCCAAACUCCUACGGGAGGCAGCAGUGGGGAAUAUUGGACAAUGGGCGCAAGUCUGAUCCAGCCAUGCCGCGUGAGUGAUGACGGCCUUAGGGUUGUAAAGCUCUUUUACCUGGGAAGAUCAUGACGGUACCAGGAGAAUAAGCCCCGGCUAACUUCGUGCCAGCAGCCGCGGUAAUACGAAGGGGGCUAGCGUUGUUCGGAUUUACUGGGCGUAAAGGGCGCGUAGGCGGGCGAAUC
Molecule: ribosomal RNA, 501 nt
Filed under: uncultured Alphaproteobacteria bacterium
Lineage: Bacteria; Pseudomonadati; Pseudomonadota; Alphaproteobacteria
Description: bacterial SSU rRNA
Rfam family: Bacterial small subunit ribosomal RNA
Source: RNAcentral